GAUGAACGCUGGCGGCGUGCUUAACACAUGCAAGUCGAACGGAUUUUACAUGAAGCCUAGCGAUUGUAAAGUUAGUGGCGGACGGGUGAGUAACGCGUGAAUAACCUGCCUUAUACUGGGGGACAACAGUUGGAAACGACUGCUAAUACCGCAUAAGCGCACGAAAGCUGCAUGACUCAGUGUGAAAAACUCCGGUGGUAUAAGAUGGAUUCGCGUCUGAUUAGCUAGUUGGUGAGGUAACGGCUCACCAAGGCGACGAUCAGUAGCCGGCCUGAGAGGGUGAACGGCCACAUUGGGACUGAGACACGGCCCAA
Molecule: ribosomal RNA, 314 nt
Filed under: uncultured bacterium
Lineage: Bacteria
Description: bacterial SSU rRNA
Rfam family: Bacterial small subunit ribosomal RNA
Source: RNAcentral